UACGUAGGGUGCAAGCGUUAAUCGGAAUUACUGGGCGUAAAGCGUGCGCAGGCGGUUUUGUAAGUUUGUCGUGAAAUCCCCGGGCUCAACCUGGGAAUUGCGAUGAAGACUGCAAGGCUAGAAUCUGGCAGAGGGGGGUAGAAUUCCACGUGUAGCAGUGAAAUGCGUAGAGAUGUGGAGGAACACCGAUGGCGAAGGCAGCCCCCUGGGUCAAGAUUGACGCUCAUGCACGAAAGCGUGGGGAGCAAACAGGG
This 254-nucleotide ribosomal RNA is filed under the name uncultured bacterium. RNAcentral describes it as "partial 16S ribosomal RNA". It matches the Rfam family "Bacterial small subunit ribosomal RNA", at positions 524 to 777 of the family's 1533-position model. The record is from RNAcentral.